This 68-nucleotide transfer RNA is filed under the name Cherax setosus. Its description in RNAcentral is "tRNA-Leu". The record is from RNAcentral. Lineage: Eukaryota; Metazoa; Arthropoda; Malacostraca; Decapoda; Parastacidae.
UUUACUUUGGCAGAAACAUGCGUUAGAUUUAGGAUUUAAUUAUAUAGGAGUUUAUUCUAUAAGUAAGG